UGANUAAUGUAUAGGAAUCUACCUAGUAGUACGGAAUAAUUGUUGGAAACGGCAACUAAUACCGUAUACGCCCUACGGGGGAAAGAUUUAUCGCUAUUAGAUGAGCCUAUAUUAGAUUAGCUAGUUGGUAAGGUAAUGGCUUACCAAGGCAAUGAUCUAUAGCUGAUCUGAGAGGAUGAUCAGCCACACUGGAACUGAGAUACGGUCCAGACUCCUACGGGAGGCAGCAGUGGGGAAUAUUGGACAAUGGGCGAAAGCCUGAUCCAGCCAUGCCGCAUGAGUGAAGAAGGCCUUUGGGUUGUAAAGCUCUUUCGGUGAGGAAGAUAAUGACGGUACUCACAGAAGAAGUCCUGGCUAACUCCGUGCCAGCAGCCGCGGUAAUACGGAGAGGGCUAGCGUUAUUCGGAAUUAUUGGGCGUAAAGAGCGCGUANGCUGGUUAGUAAGUUAAAAGUGAAAUCCCAAAGCUCAACUUUGGAAUUGCUUUUAAACUGCUAACCUANAGAUUGAAAGAGGAUAGAGGAAUUCCUAGUGUAGAGGUGAAAUUCGUAAAUAUUANGAGGAACACCAGUGGCNNA
This 576-nucleotide ribosomal RNA is filed under the name uncultured Wolbachia sp. RNAcentral describes it as "bacterial SSU rRNA". It matches the Rfam family "Bacterial small subunit ribosomal RNA", at positions 107 to 719 of the family's 1533-position model. The record is from RNAcentral. Lineage: Bacteria; Pseudomonadati; Pseudomonadota; Alphaproteobacteria; Rickettsiales; Anaplasmataceae.